Dunckerocampus dactyliophorus (ringed pipefish) is the source of this 1940-nucleotide RNA transcript. It is a transcript of the gene named THAP domain containing, apoptosis associated protein 1, with no coding region annotated. NCBI's taxonomy places the organism in Eukaryota, Metazoa, Chordata, Actinopteri, Syngnathiformes, Syngnathidae. The record is from RefSeq and is a predicted model, not a curated record. The transcript has 4 exons.
UUUGUUAUUGGCAGUGAAGCUUGCAGAGAGAAAGGUAGCCAGUCGUCGAGUGUCAGUAGAGUUGUCAGGAUAGAAACAAUCCCUUAUAGAAUCAAUUAGUUAACAGUUAUGGUUCAAACCUGCUCAGCUUACGGCUGUAAAAACCGUUAUCACAAAGAUAAAGACAUCUCCUUCCAUAAGUUUCCUCUGGCGCGUCCAGACAUCUGUGGCAAAUGGGUGUCAGCAAUGAGGAGGAACAACUUCAAGCCCAGCAAGUACAGUAACAUCUGCUCGCAGCACUUCACCAAAGACUGCUUCAAGAGAGAAUGCAACAACCGCGUACUCAAGGAGAACGCCGUGCCCUCGCUCUUCAACUUCAACCUCAACAUCAAGUCUGAAAGUCUGGAGGAUCCCUUUACCUCUGAGAUCCACUUCCCCCUCUCGUUUCCUUUGAUGUCUGACACCGUCAUGGAGGAGGUGGAGUCUGAGCCUACCAGGAGUCCGCCAGAUACCCACAGCGACACGGUGGUGGUCUCCUGCGACCACAACUACACGGCAGAGGACUCUGCGCGGCAGAAGAAGCGCAUCCAGCAGCUGGAGGAGCAGGUGGAGCUUCUCAGGAAGAAGCUGAAAACCACACAGCAGAAGUGUCGCCGUCAGGAGAGGCAACUCAAGAGCCUGAGGGUUUCCUACAAGACGGUCAAGACCACCGCGUGUGACGCGCCGGUUGCUUUCAGCGAGGGUUAUGUCAUUUUACCAAAACAUAUCUACCAAACACUCAAAGGCAUCGAGUAACAAGCAUACGUGAGUUUACUGAGACUCCAAAUCUACUGCUUGUCCUGAACAGUUGGAGCUUCUGAGCGAGAAGACUAUCAGCAGGACAGCCCACUUGAAGCAGCAUGGACCAUAAAAUCAAGUCUUAACAUUGAAAUGCUUUCAUGUUGGACUUUCAUAACAUCCUUCCUGUAACAAUGGAGUUCAUCAGCACAUCUUUUGCACAUUCAGAGGGGAAAAUCAGCAUUUGACCCCCUGCUGAUUUUGUACGUUUACCCCUUGUAAGGUUACCCUUUACAUGUAAUAAAGGUUAUCAAUUCAUUUGUAUUUGAUUGAGUGUAGGAGGGACCAGAGCUCUUUCAUAGAGUUCUGCAGGGGGGUUCCUGUGAUCAGAAGCCUGUGAUUGGACGUGAAGUCAGUCAUCGUCUUUUAGAGGACAGAGUCAUCAUUUCUCAGUCCAUGUGCCUCAUCCGCGCCAAUGAAAGCCCAGUUAACGCUGCCCGGAACUUUCAGUUGUACUGGCAGCGGCAAUGCCAAUUAUUUACAGUGCGAUUCCCAGACAUGGAAAUGAAAGGACAUUCAGUAACAUACGCUGGCAGAACCUUUCAGCCGUCCGAACAGACUCCAAGAAAUUAGUCAGCAUUUUUUAUGCAAACUGGAUGAAGGACAUUCACAUACAGCUCCUAACAAACCCAAUGGAAAUGGAAUUACAGGAAAAAAACUAGCACAUCCGGUGGGGAAACGCACUACCGGCUGCCUACGAGGAGUCACCUGCACACACCUGCAGCCAAUUUACCAACCACUUCCUAAGCAGCGCUGUCAUGUCUACCCGUUGCCAGAUUGUUUUCCCUGCUUCUCACAAAGCCUCUUGUUCCGCGUAAGGUACUUUCUGGUCCCCCUGCGUGUUCAAGUGAGUACUAUUUUCCUGCCCGGCCAUUCCGGCAGUGUUUUUUUUUUUUAUUUUGACUUUAUUCUCGUGCAGUUACUGCUGACUUUUCCAUUUUUGUUGCUGUUGUGUGUGUGUGUGUGUGUGUGUGUGUUUUUUUCCCCUGUCCUGUCCAGCCUCAACAGAUUUACUCUGCCAGGGAGAAGUGUGAAUACACUUCCCCUGUUAUACAAACUUUAUUUGACUUUGAUGCUUGUUAUUAAGCAAAUUUGGAGCGACCGGAUCGGAGCAGGAGGGGACA